GGACUGUGGCUCAGAGGGAAAGUGCUUGCCUCACAUGCGUGAGGCUCUGGGUUCGGUCCUCAGCAUCA
Molecule: transfer RNA, 68 nt
Filed under: Marmota monax (woodchuck)
Lineage: Eukaryota; Metazoa; Chordata; Mammalia; Rodentia; Sciuridae
Description: tRNA.Val
Source: RNAcentral